GAUGUUAGUUGUUAUUUGUCCAUGGGUUGCAUUGGUGCAAUGGCUAGAUCCGUCUGGAGCACAAACUGAACCUCCUAGAUUUGCUAAAACAAUAAUCAACAGCAAGGUACACCGAAAGGACAUCACGAAAAUAAAGACGAAUCCUUUCAUUAUGUGGAAACAAAUAGAGUGCCCUCGUCAACCUCUAGGCUCCAAGGAUAGUGGAUAUUAUGUAUGCCGCUACAUGAUCGAGACAAUAGAGUCGAGACAUAUGAUCAUUCCUGACAAGGUAUUUC
Long non-coding RNA from Spinacia oleracea (spinach), 275 nucleotides. RefSeq lists it as uncharacterized. The record is from RefSeq and is a predicted model, not a curated record. The transcript has 3 exons. Lineage: Eukaryota; Viridiplantae; Streptophyta; Magnoliopsida; Caryophyllales; Amaranthaceae.